Molecule: ribosomal RNA, 1357 nt
Filed under: uncultured bacterium
Lineage: Bacteria
Description: bacterial SSU rRNA
Rfam family: Bacterial small subunit ribosomal RNA
Source: RNAcentral
CCUGGCUCAGGACGAACGCUGGCGGCGCGCCUAACACAUGCAAGUCGAACGAGCGAGAGAGAGCUUGCUUUCUUGAGCGAGUGGCGAACGGGUGAGUAACGCGUGAGGAACCUGCCUCAAAGAGGGGGACAACAGUUGGAAACGACUGCUAAUACCGCAUAAGCCCACAGCUCGGCAUCGAGCAGAGGGAAAAGGAGCAAUCCGCUUUGAGAUGGCCUCGCGUCCGAUUAGCUAGUUGGUGAGGUAACGGCCCACCAAGGCGACGAUCGGUAGCCGGACUGAGAGGUUGAACGGCCACAUUGGGACUGAGACACGGCCCAGACUCCUACGGGAGGCAGCAGUGGGGAAUAUUGCACAAUGGGGGAAACCCUGAUGCAGCGACGCCGCGUGGAGGAAGAAGGUCUUCGGAUUGUAAACUCCUGUUGUUGAGGAAGAUAAUGACGGUACUCAACAAGGAAGUGACGGCUAACUACGUGCCAGCAGCCGCGGUAAAACGUAGGUCACAAGCGUUGUCCGGAAUUACUGGGUGUAAAGGGAGCGCAGGCGGGAGAACAAGUUGGAAGUGAAAUCCAUGGGCUCAACCCAUGAACUGCUUUCAAAACUGUUUUUCUUGAGUAGUGCAGAGGUAGGCGGAAUUCCCGGUGUAGCGGUGGAAUGCGUAGAUAUCGGGAGGAACACCAGUGGCGAAGGCGGCCUACUGGGCACCAACUGACGCUGAGGCUCGAAAGUGUGGGUAGCAAACAGGAUUAGAUACCCUGGUAGUCCACACCGUAAACGAUGAUUACUAGGUGUUGGAGGAUUGACCCCUUCAGUGCCGCAGUUAACACAAUAAGUAAUCCACCUGGGGAGUACGACCGCAAGGUUGAAACUCAAAGGAAUUGACGGGGGCCCGCACAAGCAGUGGAGUAUGUGGUUUAAUUCGACGCAACGCGAAGAACCUUACCAAGUCUUGACAUCCCUUGACGAACAUAGAAAUAUGUUUUCUCUUCGGAGCAAGGAGACAGGUGGUGCAUGGUUGUCGUCAGCUCGUGUCGUGAGAUGUUGGGUUAAGUCCCGCAACGAGCGCAACCCUUAUGGUCAGUUACUACGCAAGAGGACUCUGGCCAGACUGCCGUUGACAAAACGGAGGAAGGUGGGGAUGACGUCAAAUCAUCAUGCCCUUUAUGACUUGGGCUACACACGUACUACAAUGGCGUUAAACAAAGAGAAGCAAGACCGCGAGGUGGAGCAAAACUCAGAAACAACGUCCCAGUUCGGACUGCAGGCUGCAACUCGCCUGCACGAAGUCGGAAUUGCUAGUAAUCGUGGAUCAGCAUGCCACGGUGAAUACGUUCCCGGGCCUUGCACACACCGCCCG